RNAcentral lists this ribosomal RNA (1229 nucleotides) under metagenome. Its description in RNAcentral is "bacterial LSU rRNA". It matches the Rfam family "Bacterial large subunit ribosomal RNA", at positions 1708 to 2925 of the family's 2925-position model. The record is from RNAcentral.
GGGAACUCGGCAAAAUACCCCCGUAACUUCGGGAUAAGGGGGACCUGAUGCGUAUUAGAAUUUACUUCGAAAGCGUUGAGGGUCGCAGAGACCAGGCCCAAGCGACUGUUUACUAAAAACACAGGUCCGUGCUAAGUCGAAAGACGAUGUAUACGGACUGACUCCUGCCCGGUGCUGGAAGGUUAAGGGGAAGGGUUAGCCGUGAGGCGAAGCCUUGAACUUAAGCCCCAGUAAACGGCGGUGGUAACUAUAACCAUCCUAAGGUAGCGAAAUUCCUUGUCGGGUAAGUUCCGACCUGCACGAAUGGAGUAACGAUUUGGGCGCUGUCUCCACCAUGGACUCGGCGAAAUUGCACUACGAGUAAAGAUGCUCGUUACGCGCAGCAGGACGGAAAGACCCCGGGACCUUCACUAUAGUUUGGUAUUGGUGAUCGGUGUGACUUGUUAGGAUAGGUGGGAGACUUUGAAGCUUGGACGCCAGUUCAGGUGGAGUCAUCGUUGAAAUACCACUCUGGUCACUCUGGUUAUCUAACCUAGGUCCAUUAUCUGGAUCAGGGACAGUGCCUGAUGGGUAGUUUGACUGGGGCGGUCGCCUCCUAAAAGGUAACGGAGGCGCCCAAAGGUUCCCUCAGCCUGGUUGGCAAUCAGGUUUCGAGUGUAAGUGCACAAGGGGGCUUGACUGCGAGAGAGACAUCUCGAGCAGGGACGAAAGUCGGGACUAGUGAUCUUCUGGUGGCACAUGGAAGCGCCAGGACUCAACGGAUAAAAGGUACCCCGGGGAUAACAGGCUGAUCUUGCCCGAGCGUCCAUAGCGACGGCAUGGUUUGGCACCUCGAUGUCGGCUCGUCGCAUCCUGGGGCUGGAGUCGGUCCCAAGGGUUGGGCUGUUCGCCCAUUAAAGCGGCACGCGAGCUGGGUUUAGAACGUCGUGAGACAGUUCGGUCCCUAUCCGCUGCGCGCGUAGGAGUCUUGAGAAGAGCUGUCCUUAGUACGAGAGGACCGGGACGGACUAACCUCUGGUGUGCCAGUUGUUCUACCAAGAGCACGGCUGGUUGGCUACGUUGGGAAGUGAUAACCGCUGAAAGCAUCUAAGCGGGAAGCACGCUUCAAGAUGAGGGCUCCCACAGAUUAAUCUGGUAAGGCCCCCUAUAGACCAUGGGGUGAUAGGUCGGAUGUGGGAGUGCAGUAAUGUACGGAGCUGACCGAUACUAAUAGGCCGAGGGCUUGUUCC